This 65-nucleotide transfer RNA is filed under the name Heteromycteris japonicus. Its description in RNAcentral is "tRNA-Ser". The record is from RNAcentral. Lineage: Eukaryota; Metazoa; Chordata; Actinopteri; Pleuronectiformes; Soleidae.
GAGAGGCUCGAUAGCAAUGGGGACUGCUAAUCUUCAUCAUCCCGGUUAAACCCCGGGACUCACUC